This 469-nucleotide ribosomal RNA is filed under the name uncultured bacterium. RNAcentral describes it as "partial 16S ribosomal RNA". It matches the Rfam family "Bacterial small subunit ribosomal RNA", at positions 27 to 507 of the family's 1533-position model. The record is from RNAcentral.
GGACGAACGCUGGCGGCGUGCUUACCCCAUGCAAGUCGAACGGAAAGGCCCUGCUUUUGUGGGGUGCUCGAGUGGCGAACGGGUGAGUAACACGUGAGUAACCUGCCCUUGACUUUGGGAUAACUUCAGGAAACUGGGGCUAAUACCGGAUAGGAGCUCCUGCUGCAUGGGGGGGGUUGGAAAGUUUCGGCGGUUGGGGAUGGACUCGCGGCUUAUCAGCUUGUUGGUGGGGUAGUGGCUUACCAAGGCUUUGACGGGUAGCCGGCCUGAGAGGGUGACCGGCCACAUUGGGACUGAGAUACGGCCCAGACUCCUACGGGAGGCAGCAGUGGGGAAUAUUGCACAAUGGGCGGAAGCCUGAUGCAGCAACGCCGCGUGCGGGAUGACGGCCUUCGGGUUGUAAACCGCUUUCGCCUGUGACGAAGCGUGAGUGACGGUAAUGGGUAAAGAAGCACCGGCUAACUACGUG